RNAcentral lists this ribosomal RNA (253 nucleotides) under uncultured bacterium. Its description in RNAcentral is "partial 16S ribosomal RNA". It matches the Rfam family "Bacterial small subunit ribosomal RNA", at positions 524 to 776 of the family's 1533-position model. The record is from RNAcentral.
UACGUAGGGGGCAAGCGUUGUCCGGAUUUAUUGGGCGUAAAGAGCGUGUAGGCGGCCUGACAGGUCUGCUGUGAAAACUCGAGGCUCAACCUCGAGAUGUCGGCGGAAACCGUCUGGCUAGAGUCCGGAAGAGGAGAGUGGAAUUCCUGGUGUAGCGGUGAAAUGCGUAGAUAUCAGGAGGAACACCGAUGGCGAAGGCAGCUCUCUGGCCUGUAACUGACGCUGAGGUGCGAAAGCGUGGGGAGCAAACAGG